ACUCCUACGGGAGGCAGCAGUGGGGAAUUUUCCGCAAUGGGCGAAAGCCUGACGGAGCAACGCCGCGUGAGGGAUGAAGGCCUCUGGGCUGUAAACCUCUUUUCUCAAGGAAGAAGACAUGACGGUACUUGAGGAAUAAGCCACGGCUAAUUCCGUGCCAGCAGCCGCGGUAAUACGGGAGUGGCAAGCGUUAUCCGGAAUUAUUGGGCGUAAAGCGUCCGCAGGCGGCCUUUUAAGUCUGUUGUUAAAGCGUGGAGCUCAACUCCAUUUCGGCAAUGGAAACUGGAAGGCUGGAGUGUGGUAGGGGCAGAGGGAAUUCCCGGUGUAGCGGUGAAAUGCGUAGAUAUCGUGAAGAACACCAGUGGCGAAGGCGCUCUGCUGGGCCAUAACUGACGCUCAUGGACGAAAGCCAGGGGAGCGAAAGGGAUUAGAAACCCUGGUAGUCC
This 446-nucleotide ribosomal RNA is filed under the name uncultured bacterium. RNAcentral describes it as "bacterial SSU rRNA". It matches the Rfam family "Bacterial small subunit ribosomal RNA", at positions 335 to 796 of the family's 1533-position model. The record is from RNAcentral.